UUCCCAUCGCAUCUCAUUCGAUUGUGUGAACCGUAGACGUCAAGUGGACGCUCUGUCGUCUGUCAUCUAUUUUCGUAACGUAGUGAUUUCGGUUGAGAUACAUGUAUUCGUCUAUUCAUUUAAUUGUCUAUCCUCUAUCGAUUUCUUGGCAGCUGAGUGAGCAUUCUACUCUUCUGAGCCAUGUCACAGCCUUUCGUUAAUGUUCCGAUCAUCGGAGAAGCUCGAGUCAUCAACGUAGGUGGAUGUCCUGCGUGUCGAGUGGGGGUAAUGAAGUAUUACUUCACUUGUCCAGGGAUAAUUCUUGCCAUCUUAUUCUUCCCGCUAGGUCUACUAUGUCUUUUCGGAUUACAGGAACAACGGUGUUCACAUUGUGGAGUCGUGCUGUAACCUGUAAUAUACAGUAGGCCUACUUGGAAUUAACUAGACAUCAAAAUAUUUUUCUAAUGAAAUACUUCUACAUCUGUGGAUUAACGUGAUUGUCUUUAAAUAGUCGGGCAAUCCUGAUAAUUGACUAAAUGAGAUUGUACACUGUACACAUUAAAAAUAAUACUUGCAGAAGUAAAACAUGCUGAAGUAACUUACAUAAAAUCUUUGUUCGUAUUUUGCGCAAGUUCGUUGUCUAAACCGGUCUAAACCUCUAUACGAAAUUCAAGAAACAUAAAUAUUUUUAAACAGAAAAGUAAGUAAAAUAUAGGCCACAGUGUCGAAUUGCUUCACUGUGUCAAAAGUGAUUUCAGUGUUCGAUUUUGAUUGUCCAGCAAUUUCAAAUAGGAAACAUCUAUCAAACAGUGGGUUGAAUUAAUUUUUUAAAUAAUUAAUUAAUUAUCUAUUGAUUAACAAGUUUCUAUUAACACAUAUUGAACUCGAUUAACCGUAAUUACAAAAUGUAUUUCUUACGAAACAGGAUUUUGAAAACAAUAAGAGUUGAUGGUGGUAACGAAAUAUAGCACGAAAUAGGGCACAAAAAACUAAAAAUAUUUAGAUAGAAAUUUAAAAAGAGAACGUAGGGGAGACAGGGACUGACAUAUUAUUUAAACCGGUAAGGAGAGGAACGACUCACUAAACAUAUGAACUGGUGAGUGCCUGAGUGGUAACGAAACUCAUUAAAGCAACUUAAAAUUAAAAAUGGCCACAAUGGAAGGGCUGACGUGUCGCCCACUCGCUGUCUCAAACACAAGCCCCGCAGCUGGUACACCUGAUAUUUUUUUUGUUAGAUUAGUUGAGUGGGAAAAACAAAUUUUCUGUUCGGAUUAUACCGGUAUUCUUUUGUACAAAACAGACAAAGGAGACCCAAAGGGAAACACACAAUUGCACAGAAGACUCCAAAGCACGAAAAAUGCGAUUUAAUGCAGCCAUUCUGUGAACAAUAUGAUAGAAAAUGAAAAAUAAUUAUUCGCGUGCGGUCAAGAAUAUGUGUGACAAGCUUAUUACGUGACACAUCUUGCAACUCGUAUUUCCACUACUUCCUCCAAUGUCGAUUACUGUUGCCGUGUUCGAGGUACUUCGUUGAGCAACAUAUGGCACUUAAAUUGAAAGGAGAAAUGCACGAACAUCCAUUUUGAUUUUUUUUAUAAAGUAAUGAAUAAAUAAGACCAGAUUGAAAUCGAUGAUUACCUUCUCUAGACACUGCUGAAAUUUCUUCGUCAGACAUGGUGCUGUGUGCGGUAGCUGCCAUGAAAGAGACUGUGCUAGCCUACCUGUAGCAGGCGAAGCGUGAAAAUUGUUUGUGGACUGAAGACGUAUUGAAAAAAAACCAGAGGUACAAAUAGGGGCAUAGUAGACAAUGCCACAGUAGACAAUGCCACUAUCGAUGAAUCGAUGAUAAGCGACAUUUAUUUAAAAAGCAAAAUUAAACAUUUUGAAUUUCACUUUUUUGCUGAAUGAAUUUAUUUUUGUCAUUUAUUUCUCGUUAGUAGUUUCUAUGAGUGGAUAAUUAUAAAUAGCGAAUAAUGAAAAAUGAAUAACCAAUUCUGGCUGCAAACGGGCAAACGGAAUUUCACGAAUACACUUCUCCUUAACCAAUUUGGCAACCUCGAUAGUCUUCUCGUCAAAACAAAAAUGGAAAAAAGUCGUCGUGUCGUGUCGAUUUUACAUCAUACUUCACAGGAUCAUUUCUGUAGUGUCGAUUUUACUCAUCGUAUGGUUGUGGUUUCUAUUUCUAUAAUAUGAAGAAAUUCUAUAAUAUUCUUAAUGUGAAGUCACGAAUCUUAUCUAAAAAUGGUAAUUAACAAACUGUCUGGCAAGGGAAAUCCUUGUCAAAUUGGGACAAUUCUUCAGAGAAAAGGCAAAAUCCUAUUAUCACCGACCCCAGCAUGGACCAAUCUCUCAUUCCAUCUUCUAGAGAAUCUUGGAUACGUAUA
Molecule: long non-coding RNA, 2360 nt
Filed under: Daphnia pulex (common water flea)
Lineage: Eukaryota; Metazoa; Arthropoda; Branchiopoda; Diplostraca; Daphniidae
Description: uncharacterized LOC124201565, transcript variant X3
Source: RNAcentral